Long non-coding RNA from Chelmon rostratus (copperband butterflyfish), 148 nucleotides. RefSeq lists it as uncharacterized. NCBI's taxonomy places the organism in Eukaryota, Metazoa, Chordata, Actinopteri, Chaetodontiformes, Chaetodontidae. The record is from RefSeq and is a predicted model, not a curated record. The transcript has 3 exons.
CAGCUGGAGGACCUGCAGGCAGAAAACACAGUUCAGUCUGUUCGACUUAACUUGAUGGAGUCCAGACUGACAGACAGCCACAACAACACUGGAGCUCUGGAGGUCAGACUGAGAUCCACUGAGUCCCGGCUGGAGAAUCACACUGCAG